GGCGGCGUGCUUAACACAUGCAAGUCGAACGGAAAGGCCCCUUCGGGGGUACUCGAGUGGCGAACGGGUGAGUAACACGUGGGUGAUCUGCCCUGCACUUCGGGAUAAGCCUGGGAAACUGGGUCUAAUACCGGAUAGGACCACUUGGCGCAUGCCUUGUGGUGGAAAGCUUUUGCGGUGUGGGAUGGGCCCGCGGCCUAUCAGCUUGUUGGUGGGGUCACGGCCUACCAAGGCUCCGACGGGUAGCCGGCCUGAGAGGGUGUCCGGCCACACUGGGACUGAGAUACGGCCCAGACUCCUACGGGAGGCAGCAGUGGGGAAUAUUGCACAAUGGGCGCAAGCCUGAUGCAGCGACGCCGCGUGGGGGAUGACGGCCUUCGGGUUGUAAACCUCUUUCACCAUCGACGAAGGUCCGGGUUUUCUCGGAUUGACGGUAGGUGGAGAAGAAGCACCGGCCAACUACGUGCCAGCAGCCGCGGUAAUACGUAGGGUGCGAGCGUUGUCCGGAAUUACUGGGCGUAAAGAGCUCGUAGGUGGUUUGUCGCGUUGUUCGUGAAAACUCACGGCUUAACUGUGAGCGUGCGGGCGAUACGGGCAGACUGGAGUACUGCAGGGGAGACUGGAAUUCCUGGUGUAGCGGUGGAAUGCGCAGAUAUCAGGAGGAACACCGGUGGCGAAGGCGGGUCUCUGGGCAGUAACUGACGCUGAGGAGCGAAAGCGUGGGGAGCGAACAGGAUUAGAUACCCUGGUAGUCCACGCCGUAAACGGUGGGUACUAGGUGUGGGUUUCCUUCCUUGGGAUCCGUGCCGUAGCUAACGCAUUAAGUACCCCGCCUGGGGAGUACGGCCGCAAGGCUAAAACUCAAAGGAAUUGACGGGGGCCCGCACAAGCGGCGGAGCAUGUGGAUUAAUUCGAUGCAACGCGAAGAACCUUACCUGGGUUUGACAUGCACAGGACGCUGGUAGAGAUAUCAGUUCCCUUGUGGCCUGUGUGCAGGUGGUGCAUGGCUGUCGUCAGCUCGUGUCGUGAGAUGUUGGGUUAAGUCCCGCAACGAGCGCAACCCUUGUCUCAUGUUGCCAGCGGGUAAUGCCGGGGACUCGUGAGAGACUGCCGGGGUCAACUCGGAGGAAGGUGGGGAUGACGUCAAGUCAUCAUGCCCCUUAUGUCCAGGGCUUCACACAUGCUACAAUGGCCGGUACAAAGGGCUGCGAUGCCGCAAGGUUAAGCGAAUCCUUUAAAGCCGGUCUCAGUUCGGAUCGGGGUCUGCAACUCGACCCCGUGAAGUCGGAGUCGCUAGUAAUCGCAGAUCAGCAACGCUGCGGUGAAUACGUUCCCGGGCCUUGUACACACCGCCCGUCACGUCAUGAAAGUCGGUAACACCCGAAGCCAGUGGCCUAACCCUUUGGGAGGGAGCUGUCGAAGGUGGGAUCGGC
This 1433-nucleotide ribosomal RNA is filed under the name Mycobacterium conspicuum. RNAcentral describes it as "16S ribosomal RNA". It matches the Rfam family "Bacterial small subunit ribosomal RNA". The record is from RNAcentral. Lineage: Bacteria; Bacillati; Actinomycetota; Actinomycetes; Mycobacteriales; Mycobacteriaceae.